RNAcentral lists this unclassified non-coding RNA (734 nucleotides) under Carpinus purpurinervis. Its description in RNAcentral is "partial contains small subunit ribosomal RNA, internal transcribed spacer 1, 5.8S ribosomal RNA, internal transcribed spacer 2, and large subunit ribosomal RNA". The stretch from base 295 to 450 matches the Rfam family "5.8S ribosomal RNA". The record is from RNAcentral. Lineage: Eukaryota; Viridiplantae; Streptophyta; Magnoliopsida; Fagales; Betulaceae.
AUCAUUUAGAGGAAGGAGAAGUCGUAACAAGGUUUCCGUAGGUGAACCUGCGGAAGGAUCAUUGUCGAAACCUGCAAAGCAGACCCGUGAACGUGUUAAUCAAACUUGUGGCUGCGAUAUCGGACGCCGUCGCGUCCAGAUCAUGGCCCUGUCACCCGAACGACGCAAGUCUGUUGGGUGCACUAACCUCUCGGCGCGGCAAGCGUCAAGGAAAAACAGAGCGAUCGCCCCUCCAUGUGGGUGCCGUACGCGGUGCCCGAUGUGUGGAGGAGCAUCUAUCAAAAUAGUCGAAACGACUCUCGGCAACGGAUAUCUCGGCUCUCGCAUCGAUGAAGAACGUAGCGAAAUGCGAUACUUGGUGUGAAUUGCAGAAUCCCGUGAACCAUCGAGUCUUUGAACGCAAGUUGCGCCCAAGGCCAUCAGGCUGAGGGCACGUCUGCCUGGGCGUCACACAUCUCGUCGCCCCCCAGCAUCAUCGUCUUUCCCCACACAUUGUCGGGAAAUGACGCGUGGAGCGUGGGGGUGGAAAUUGGCCUUCCGUUACCAGCGCGUAGCGGCCGGCCCAAAUAUGAAACCGUGCCGAUGAAUGUGACACGAUAUGUGGUGGUUGGAUUCCUCAACUUGCAAACUGUCGUGCUGGACUUGUAUCGAGCCACGGUACGGACCCAACGGCUGGAAGAUGCCCUCGACUGUAACCCCAGGUCAGGCGGGAUCACCCGCUGAGUUUAAGCAUA